CUGCGUCUCUAGGGACAUUGUGCACGCUUCAUUAGUUUCCACUUCAUACCCCUGUGCACCUUUGAUAGAUUUCGGUUUGGGUUAUCCUUUGGUUUUUCCUUUCUUAUUUGAAGGGUUUGUGGUUUCCUUAAAACCACCUCUAUACUAUCCCACACCCCAUGUGUGUGUUUUUAUGAAGGAUGGAUUAUGACGACGAGGCCAUGAUCCUUAAAAACUUAAUACUUUUUUCAACAACGGAUCUGUUGCUUCUCGCAUCGAUGAAGAACGCAGCAAACUGCAAUAAAUGAGGAGAGUUGAAUACUUCGGAGCAUCAUCUCAUCUUUGACCCCUCCUUGCCCCCGUUGUUCUUCAGAAGGGGACGGCUGUAUGAGUGUUAUAAACUUCUCAACUUCUAUGACUUUAUUGUUGUAGCUGUUUGGAUUGUUGGGGGUUGCUGGCUUCUUUCUUUGAAGUCGGCUCCUCUUAAAUGCAUUAGCGGGACUUUGUUGCCUCUGCGCAUAGUGUGAUAAUUAUCUACGCUAGACGCAUGCAAUUCUUAUAUUGUCCAGCUUUCUAAUCGUCUCAAGGGACAAUUACUUUGACAAUUUGACCUCAAAUCAGGUAGGACUACCCGCUGAACUUAAGCAUAUCA
This 631-nucleotide ribosomal RNA is filed under the name Pleurotus djamor var. roseus. RNAcentral's name for it is "eukaryotic LSU rRNA". The stretch from base 223 to 376 matches the Rfam family "5.8S ribosomal RNA". Lineage: Eukaryota; Fungi; Basidiomycota; Agaricomycetes; Agaricales; Pleurotaceae. The record is from RNAcentral.